UAAGACCUCAUAAGUCCAUCAAAAAAAAUAUCCAAAUGACUUGAAAUAAGACAUAAUUAAAUACUAGAGACACAAAUAAUAGGGGUCUAUGUUGAACAUAUUUUAAGAAUAUAUAAAAUAAGUGGGUUAAAAAAUAAAUCAAAGUUGGAAAUAAAAUAGGGUAAAAAUAAAUAAAAUGAAAACGAAACAAAAUGCAAAAAAAACAUUUUGCACACGCUACGGGUUGCACCCCUGACCUUGGAGUCAUUGGAGGAUCAACCCCCUCUCCCACUGGGCCAAGCGCCCAGUUUAUCAAAAAAU
Molecule: long non-coding RNA, 300 nt
Filed under: Lathyrus oleraceus (garden pea)
Lineage: Eukaryota; Viridiplantae; Streptophyta; Magnoliopsida; Fabales; Fabaceae
Description: Pisum sativum (pea) long non-coding RNA (PSAT_LNC027712)
Source: RNAcentral